RNAcentral lists this non-coding RNA (233 nucleotides) under Enterococcus pallens. RNAcentral's name for it is "T-box sequence". It matches the Rfam family "T-box leader". From Rfam's summary of the family: Uncharged tRNA acts as the effector for transcription antitermination of genes in the T-box leader family. T-boxes are found upstream of many aminoacyl-tRNA synthetase genes and some amino acid biosynthetic genes usually in Gram-positive bacteria. The anticodon of a specific tRNA base pairs to a specifier sequence within the T-box motif, and the NCCA acceptor tail of the tRNA base pairs to a conserved bulge in the T-box antiterminator hairpin. Lineage: Bacteria; Bacillati; Bacillota; Bacilli; Lactobacillales; Enterococcaceae. The record is from RNAcentral.
UUUUUUUCGAUGAGAAAGAAAGUAAGCUCGGAACGGUUUUAGAGAGACUCUGGUUGGUGAAAGGAGUUAGAAGUGAAGAGCUGAAGAUGGCUUUUGAGAAACUUUUGGCGAUAGGUAGUUGGAAGCGGAAUGUCCACCGAUACAAGGACCUCCGAUUUCACGAGUGUGAAGUCGGGCUGAGGGAAGGGAAACCUUCUGAACUUAAGGUGGUAACACGAUUAUUCGUCCUUUUG